AGUUUUCAAUAAUUAAUAAUCUUUAAUUUGUAGAAAGAUAGCAAAAGAACCUUUUUCUUGUUAAACUUUAUUGACUACAAAUGUUAUAUUCUUUGAGUCAUUUUUGUAACAUGUUUCAAAUAUGCAUCUACAUAUACAUUUUUGCAGUUAUUUUGUGAAAUAAAUCUUGGAGUUGGAACUUAUUUACAAUGGGAUGCCACUGAAUCUAUUACUUUAAAUUUAAUUGUGGAAAUUAUAACUACCAAAUAUGAAUUUAAUUUCAGAAAUAUUAACCAAAAACGAUUGUUACCAAAUAUCUAAACCAAUCCCUUUAGAUAGCAAAACAAUUAAAU
This 332-nucleotide small RNA is filed under the name Arabidopsis thaliana (thale cress). RNAcentral describes it as "ATSL145020". The record is from RNAcentral. Lineage: Eukaryota; Viridiplantae; Streptophyta; Magnoliopsida; Brassicales; Brassicaceae.